CAGCCAUGUUGCUUCUGGCACAUGGGGGAUAAUCAGACAGGUUGAGGUUGCAAAGCUGACUCUCCCGGCAGCCCACGUUGAAAGUGUUGGGGGCCAGAUGAAAGGCUGGAGGGGAGCAGGAUGGAGAGAGAAGGCUGUUAAUACUGCAGCAGGGUCAGCAGAAGGGAACAUCUACCUCUAGUUUCAUUGCAAAGUCUUUUUUAGUUGAAAUUGCUGAUAAAGGUGAGACUGAUCUGAGGUAAAUGACUACAGGCACACAUUUUCCUGUUAGCCCUGCACUGAAGAGGGUAACUCCAACAGAGAGGGCAGGCAGACAGCUGAGUUCAUAUAUCACCACUUAGCUGUCAAAGCCCAAAGUAGAGAGGUCACAUAAUCACAAAACAAAUAGAGCACAAAGUGAGAUGUAUUAAACCCACAGUAAUCCCGCACUUGAUUCUUUACACCACAUAUUUCAUGAACAAACUUCAGAUGGUGACUUACUUGCUGACAGAGCCUGGAGAAUAAGUAAAAAUACAUAUGUAUAUAUAUGAGCAUUUAAUGAUCUGUUUGAAAUAAAAUACAUUGAAUAAAUGA
This is a long non-coding RNA of Neopsephotus bourkii (Bourke's parrot), 573 nucleotides long. RefSeq lists it as uncharacterized. NCBI's taxonomy places the organism in Eukaryota, Metazoa, Chordata, Aves, Psittaciformes, Psittacidae. The transcript is spliced from 2 exons. The record is from RefSeq and is a predicted model, not a curated record.